GACGAACGCUGGCGGCGUGCUUAACACAUGCAAGUCGAACGGAAAGGCCCUGCUUUUGUGGGGUGCUCGAGUGGCGAAAGGGUGAGUAACACGUGAGUAACCUGCCCUUGACUUUGGGAUAACUUCAGGAAACUGGGGCUAAUAUCGGAUAGGAGCUCCUGCUGCAUGGUGGGGGAUGGAAAGUUUCGGCGGUUGGGGAUGGACUCGCGGCUUAUCAGCUUGUUGGUGGGGUAGUGGCUUACCAAGGCAUUGAGGGGUAGCCAGCCUGCGAGGGUGACCGGCCACAUUGGGACUGAGAUACGGCCCAGACUCCUACGUGGGGCAUCAGUGGGAGUUUGUGCACAAUGGGCGGAGGCCGUAAGCAGCAUCUCCGCGUGCGAGAUGACUGCCUUCGGGGUGUAACCCUCUUUCGCCUGUGACGAAGCGUAAGUGACGGUAAUGAGUAAAGAAGCACCGGCUAACUACGUG
This 468-nucleotide ribosomal RNA is filed under the name uncultured bacterium. RNAcentral's name for it is "partial 16S ribosomal RNA". It matches the Rfam family "Bacterial small subunit ribosomal RNA", at positions 28 to 507 of the family's 1533-position model. The record is from RNAcentral.